GUGUCAGCCGCCGCGGUAAUACAGAGGUCCCAAGCGUUGUUCGGAUUCACUGGGCGUAAAGGGUGCGUAGGUGGUGAGGGAAGUUGGGUGUGAAAGCUCGGGGCUUAACCCCGAAACGGCAUUCAAAACUCCUUUGCUGGAGGGUCGGAAGGGAGACUGGAAUUCUCGGUGUAGCGGUGAAAUGCGUAGAGAUCGAGAGGAACACCAGUGGCGAAAGCGAGUCUCUGGACGACUCCUGACACUGAGGCACGAAAGCUAGGGGAGCAAACAGGAUUAGAAACCCUUGUAGUCC
Molecule: ribosomal RNA, 292 nt
Filed under: uncultured bacterium
Lineage: Bacteria
Description: partial 16S ribosomal RNA
Rfam family: Bacterial small subunit ribosomal RNA
Source: RNAcentral